RNAcentral lists this ribosomal RNA (429 nucleotides) under Chloroflexota bacterium. Its description in RNAcentral is "Chloroflexi bacterium partial 16S ribosomal RNA". It matches the Rfam family "Bacterial small subunit ribosomal RNA", at positions 355 to 776 of the family's 1533-position model. The record is from RNAcentral. Lineage: Bacteria; Bacillati; Chloroflexota.
UGGGGAAUAUUGCACAAUGGGCGCAAGCCUGAUGCAGCCAUGCCGCGUGUGUGAAGAAGGCCUUCGGGUUGUAAAGCACUUUCAGCGGGGAGGAAGGCGUUAAGGUUAAUAACCUUGGCGAUUGACGUUACCCGCAGAAGAAGCACCGGCUAACUCCGUGCCAGCAGCCGCGGUAAUACGGAGGGUGCAAGCGUUAAUCGGAAUUACUGGGCGUAAAGCGCACGCAGGCGGUCUGUCAAGUCGGAUGUGAAAUCCCCGGGCUCAACCUGGGAACUGCAUUCGAAACUGGCAGGCUAGAGUCUUCUAGAGGGGGGUAGAAUUCCAGGUGUAGCGGUGAAAUGCGUAGAGAUCUGGAGGAAUACCGGUGGCGAAGGCGGCCCCCUGGACAAAGACUGACGCUCAGGUGCGAAAGCGGGGGGAGCAAACAGG